CGGGACGUGGGCCAGCCUGGCUGUGGCCGCGUGCCUCGGACGCACGAGAACGCAGGUUCAAAUCCUGCCGUCCCGA
This 76-nucleotide transfer RNA is filed under the name Planctomycetota bacterium. RNAcentral's name for it is "Planctomycetes bacterium tRNA-Pro". It matches the Rfam family "tRNA". From Rfam's summary of the family: Transfer RNA (tRNA) molecules are approximately 80 nucleotides in length. The record is from RNAcentral. Lineage: Bacteria; Pseudomonadati; Planctomycetota. RNAcentral also lists the same sequence under 1 other name.